GUUUAUAAAAGGAGAGAAUCCAACAAAGAUCACAACGAAUUAUGACCAUAACCUCACCUUUUCCAAUGAACUCGCCUACCAACAUAAAACCACCGACUAACCAGGGAUUUUUGCUACUGACCAUCGUCGCAAUACUUGAUAUUGCAUCCGCGGAAUUGAGCUUCGUUGACCUGAAUUAAAAUCGAUGUUUGUUGAAGCAGAGGAAUAGAAAUGUAGAGUUGAAGGCUUGAAGUUGAGUUCAAGGUGUUGGAGAGCUAAACCGGAAGCCAUUGAAGUGGUCGAGUUUUGCUUCCUCUGUACGCGCCAUUAUCGUCGGUGAUGGUUACUUGGCUCGAGUUGGCCGGUGACGGAAGGCAGGUUUAAUAAGGGCUUUAGGUGUUGGUGGUUGGUUAAUCCAAUGCUAAUUUAAUUACAAAUCUGGCAACAAGGGAUCAUUUUUUAUUUCCUGUUCAUACUUGCAGCAGUUCCUACAGUUCUGAAAUGAUAGUCUAGUGAGAAAUGCUUAGAUCUAGAAUAUGUAAAGUUUAUUCUUCAAGUUGAUAUGCUAUGACAAGCCAGUAUCUUUUAUCUAGAAGAACUUGUAGAACCAAGUAUCUUUUACAAUUAACUCAAAACUAUGUCUUUACCACAUAA
Gossypium arboreum is the source of this 633-nucleotide long non-coding RNA. RefSeq lists it as uncharacterized. The record is from RefSeq and is a predicted model, not a curated record. The transcript has 2 exons. Lineage: Eukaryota; Viridiplantae; Streptophyta; Magnoliopsida; Malvales; Malvaceae.